CCGUUAACGAACGAGACUUAACCUGCUAAAUAGGAGUCAGGAACUUCGUGUUCUUGUAUCACUUCUUAGAGGGACUUUGCGUGUCUAACGCAAGGAAGUUUGAGGCAUAACAGGUCUGUGAUGCCCUUAGAUGUUCUGGGCUGCACGCGCGCUACACUGAUGCAUCCAACGAGUUUAUAACCUUGGCCGAUAGGUCUAGGUAAUCUUGUGAGUAUGCAUCGUGAUGGGGAUAGAUUAUUGCAAUUAUUAAUCUUCAACGAGGAAUGCCUAGUAGGCGCAAGUCAGCAGCUUGCGCCGAUUACGUCCCUGCCCUUUGUACACACCGCCCGUCGCUCCUACCGAUUGAGUGUUCCGGUGAAUUAUUCGGACCGUUUUGUGGCGCGUUCGUGCCCGAAAUGGGAAGUUUUGUGAACCUUAACACUUAGAGGAAGGAGAAGUCGUAACAAGGU
Molecule: ribosomal RNA, 449 nt
Filed under: Toxoplasma gondii ME49
Lineage: Eukaryota; Apicomplexa; Conoidasida; Eucoccidiorida; Sarcocystidae
Description: Toxoplasma gondii rRNA TGME49_459420
Rfam family: Eukaryotic small subunit ribosomal RNA
Source: RNAcentral